CCUACGGGUGGCUGCAGUGGGGAAUAUUGGACAAUGGGGGGAACCCUGAUCCAGCCAUGCCGCGUGUGUGAAGAAGGCCCUCGGGUUGUAAAGCACUUUCAGUGAGGAAGAACGCCUGGUGGUUAAUACCCAUCAGGAAAGACAUCACUCACAGAAGAAGCACCGGCUAACUCCGUGCCAGCAGCCGCGGUAAUACGGAGGGUGCGAGCGUUAAUCGGAAUUACUGGGCGUAAAGCGCGCGUAGGUGGCUUGAUAAGCCGGUUGUGAAAGCCCCGGGCUCAACCUGGGAACGGCAUCCGGAACUGUCAAGCUAGAGUGCAGGAGAGGAAGGUAGAAUUCCCGGUGUAGCGGUGAAAUGCGUAGAGAUCGGGAGGAAUACCAGUGGCGAAGGCGGCCUUCUGGACUGACACUGACACUGAGGUGCGAAAGCGUGGGUAGCAAACAGGAUUAGAUAUCCCUGUAGUC
Molecule: ribosomal RNA, 465 nt
Filed under: Vreelandella stevensii
Lineage: Bacteria; Pseudomonadati; Pseudomonadota; Gammaproteobacteria; Oceanospirillales; Halomonadaceae
Description: partial 16S ribosomal RNA
Rfam family: Bacterial small subunit ribosomal RNA
Source: RNAcentral